This 354-nucleotide unclassified non-coding RNA is filed under the name soil metagenome. Its description in RNAcentral is "partial contains 5.8S ribosomal RNA, internal transcribed spacer 2, and large subunit ribosomal RNA". The stretch from base 1 to 120 matches the Rfam family "5.8S ribosomal RNA", at positions 35 to 154 of the family's 154-position model. The record is from RNAcentral.
GAUGAAGAACGUAGCGAAAUGCGAUAAGUAAUGUGAAUUGCAGAAUUCAGUGAAUCAUCGAAUCUUUGAACGCACAUUGCGCCCAUUAGUAUUCUAGUGGGCAUGCCUGUUCGAGCGUCAUUAAGUCCACUUAAGCCCUGCUUAGUGUUGGGAGACUGCUCCAGCGGUGCUACCCUGUAGCUACCCUGCAGCUCCUCAAAGACAGCGGCGGAGUUGUGGUAUCCUCUGAGCUUAGUAACUUGUUCUAGCUUUUGAGUACACCACUUCCCCUGCCGUAAAACCCUUAAUUUUUAAUGGUUGACCUCGGAUCAGGUAGGAAUACCCGCUGAACUUAAGCAUAUCAAUAAGCGGAGA